Molecule: ribosomal RNA, 911 nt
Filed under: Agaricus sp.
Lineage: Eukaryota; Fungi; Basidiomycota; Agaricomycetes; Agaricales; Agaricaceae
Description: LSU rRNA
Rfam family: Eukaryotic large subunit ribosomal RNA
Source: RNAcentral
AAACGGAGAGACUAACAGGAUUCCCCUAGUAACUGCGAGUGAAGCGGGAAAAGCUCAAAUUUAAAAUCUGGCAGUCUCUGGCUGUCCGAGUUGUAAUCUAGAGAAGUAAUGCCCGUGCUGGACCGUGUAUAAGUCUCCUGGGAUGGGGCGUCAUAGAGGGUGAGAAUCCCGUCUUUGACACGGACUACCAGUGCAUUGUGGUAUGCUCUCAAAGAGUCGAGUUGUUUGGGAAUGCAGCUCAAAAUGGGUGGUAAAUUCCAUCUAAAGCUAAAUAUUGGCGAGAGACCGAUAGCGAACAAGUACCGUGAGGGAAAGAUGAAAAGAACUUUGGAAAGAGAGUUAAACAGUACGUGAAAUUGCUGAAAGGGAAACGCUUGAAGUCAGUCGCGUURGCUGGAAAUCAGCCUUGCUUUUGCAUGGUGUAUUUUCUGGUUGACGGGUCAGCAUCAAUUUUGACCGCUGGAAAAAGGCCUGGGGAAUGUGGCAGCUUCGGCUGUGUUAUAGCCCCUAGUCACAUACAGUGGUUGGGAUUGAGGAACUCAGCACGCCGCAAGGCCGGGUUUCGACCACGACCGUGCUUAGGAUGCUGGCAUAAUGGCUUUAAGCGACCCGUCUUGAAACACGGACCAAGGAGUCUAACAUGCCUGCGAGUAUUUGGGUGGAAAACUCAAGUGCGUAAUGAAAGUGAAAGUUGAGAUCCCUGUCGUGGGGAGCAUCGACGCCCGGACCAGAACUUUUGGGACGGAUCCGCGGUGGAGCAUGUAUGUUGGGACCCGAAAGAUGGUGAACUAUGCCUGAAUAGGGUGAAGCCAGAGGAAACUCUGGUGGAGGCUCGUAGCGAUUCUGACGUGCAAAUCGAUCGUCAAAUUUGGGUAUAGGGGCGAAAGACUAAUCGACCAUCUGUUGGCCAA